Non-coding RNA from Vicugna pacos (alpaca), 1000 nucleotides. The record is from RefSeq and is a predicted model, not a curated record. NCBI's taxonomy places the organism in Eukaryota, Metazoa, Chordata, Mammalia, Artiodactyla, Camelidae.
GUCUUUUAGAAAAAUCAUCUGAGGGAAGGAAUUUUUAGAAAUAAAACUGGAAACAUCCAGAAUCUUGAUGGUGUGCCAAACCAAAUGUCAACUGGAGCGCGACCAAAAACUCAACACUUAGGAUUCAUUCAGGAAGUUACUUGAGCUGGGGCCAGACGGAGGAGUAGACCAUCCAACUCCUGACAUUUUCCCGGGUUGUGUGUCCAGAACUUGGUGACCCAAUUCUUCUCUGUUGGCCUAUAUUCAGCUGAACAAGUCAUCAGACUUACAAGGCUCUGAGCUCCUGGGUCCAUGCCUCCUCAGGAUCCCUGCUCCCUCGUAGCUGCAGCUCUGGAAUCUUCUCUGAGUUCCUUCUCCUCAGACCCGGAAGGUGCUCUCUGACAAACGAAGCAAGGAGAGAGCAGGAAACCCAUCACUUUCUAUGCCUGCUGAAGUCAAGAGCUCUCUUAGCUCAUCUCUGAGUGGGACAUCUCUUCCCACCUCCCCUGUGUUUCUUCAAAACAUCGGCCUCACCACUGCUAAAUUGUGUGCCAGUGGAGCAGCUUUCCAGGAUGCCUGGGCCUUAUAAGGAUCGAGCAGAAUGUCAUAGCAGAAAUGCUUUCCCCGGGGAGGUGAAGGGCUGUCUAUGGAGAGUGAACAAUCAGGUGAAAUCUCUAAAGCGUGGAGUCUGAAGUGAAUCAGUCCAGUUCUGACAAGUAAGAGAGGAGAUGGAAAAGGCGUAAGAGCUAGAGUGGAUCAGUCUCAGCCUGCUAGCUGUCUUCUUUAUGCCUUCUGUUCUGGAGAAUGAUAGGAGCUUACUCUGAGAAUUUUCUAAGUUUAAAUUAAAAGCUGCAGUUGUUUAUUCACGUAAAUUAUUUCUAAUCAGAUGAAUGAUAUAAUAAAUAUUUCUAUGUCCCAACAUUUUGAACAAUUCAUAUAUUUCGAGUCAGAGGUAUUUACAUGAAAUAGCUGAAGUCACAGAUGUUGUAGUGUAGCAAAUUAAAGAGCUUCUCCUUUUAAA